This is an RNA transcript of Ipomoea triloba (trilobed morning glory), 1613 nucleotides long. It is a transcript of the gene named DTW domain-containing protein 2, with no coding region annotated. The record is from RefSeq and is a predicted model, not a curated record. NCBI's taxonomy places the organism in Eukaryota, Viridiplantae, Streptophyta, Magnoliopsida, Solanales, Convolvulaceae. The transcript is spliced from 3 exons.
UCACCGGAAUGGCUCCGGAAAAUUGCGCAGCUAACAAAGACAUCCCUGACGCCGCCGCCGGCGACUUCCAAACAAGGCGAAGGAUAUGCGCCAAAUGCGACAGGCCAGCAAACGUUUGCUUAUGCGCUACAAUCCCAGCCGACCCGAUUGCGAACCUGACCCGAGUCGUUGUCCUCCAGCACCCUCACGAGCGCCGCCACAAGCUCGCCACUGUUCCUGUUCUGUCCAAGUGCCUGGGAAAUUGCGAGGUCAUUGCCGGACGGAGACUUCGUUAUGGUGAUUCCAAGGUCCUCGAUAAUCUUCAUGAUGAGGCAAUUGCAAACCCUAAUGUGCCCCGCAGAGCUGUUUUUCUCUUUCCUGGCACAGAAACAUCGGAAUCAAUGGAGAUCAACCAGUGGAAAUGUUCAACUAAAAAUUUUGAUAGAAGCAAUUAUGUCUUGAUUGCUCUUGAUGGAACUUGGAAGCAUGCUAAGGAGAUGAUGUGUGCUAGCCUAGAAUUUUUGUCCAAAUUUGCAGUCCAAGUUUAUUUAAGUUAUGAUACUAGCAUUGAUGGUGGAACAAUUUUCGAUUCUGAUCUAAUUCUCAGAAAGGAACCAUUUAGUGGGUGUAUGAGUACAAUGGAGGCAGUUGCUCACUGCUUACAGGUUCUUGACCCUAAUGGAGUUGAGAUUGAAGCAAGACUGGUUGAGGCUCUAAGGACUAUGGUUAGAUUUCAGACUAGCUAUUUGAGGCCUAUGAAACAACGGCCAAAGUUGGUUAAAAAAACCAAAGAGAAUGUAAAAAGAAAUGAGUGAGAAUUUACAAAAUGUCCAUACUUAUAGUGUAAGAUUUGUUGCUGGUGGUUUGAUUCAUUUACUAUUAUAUUUAAGAGGCCAGGUUUUGCAAAUUCAGAGCUUUGAGCUUAAUCACUUACUGGAGUAAAGAAGGCCAUUUACAAGUACCCAUCCUUUUUAGAUUUUCAGAGUUUUCAAGCAUAUCAGCCAUUCAAUCUGGACUAAUUUCAACAAGUCAGAACUUUUGUUUGUUCACAAGUCACAUUUAUUGAAAUGAACCAAGUUGGUUUCAUUGCCUUCAUGUGAAUGAAGAUACCAGAGUUUGAUUGGUGUUGGUUGGACUUUUAAUCCUGUCAAGUUAAAUGCACAUAUUUGCCAAACUUGCCGGCAUUGCCGCCCAGUUUGCUUUGCUUUGCUUUUAGGGAAUUCACAGACAUAACCUUGAAUUCAGAUACCGUUGGAAAAUAUCCACAUUCAGAGGAUGUAUCAGAGAGGUUGCUAAAUCACAUUACAGGGCCACCAGACCAGGUUUAGCAGGACUUUGCCAAAGUUGUGAGAUAUCUCUACUCUGUGUUUGAAGCAUGGCUUAAGCUUUUGAUAAAAAGGUGAAGUGGAAGUGAAGAAGAGUAAGAAGAUUGGAUCUGUAACCUGUUCAGUUUAUGAGGGGAAAACAUUAUGGUUGAUUUUCUGUGGUAGGGCAUAGCUUUAAAAGUGAUAAAUCAGUGGAGGUGGUAAACCUAAGUCUUAACCAUUUGGUUCAGGUCUGUUGUUUAAUGGUUCCUCAUGAAUAUAAUUGUGGUUGAUGCAUUCACUUGAAAGGUGGUGUUGGUUUCUUUUAUU